Molecule: long non-coding RNA, 488 nt
Filed under: Homo sapiens (human)
Lineage: Eukaryota; Metazoa; Chordata; Mammalia; Primates; Hominidae
Description: non-protein coding lnc-HIGD1A-1:1
Source: RNAcentral
CAAAAAGUAAGCACUUUCAGAGCCCGACCCUUCAAGGAGCUGCUGCUGCAGAAGGAGCCCUGUCCCCGGAAGCUCGCUGUCACGAGGGGCCUCUGACAUCUCCUUCUUGAGAGAAAGGUCGCCUGGCCUGGGUGAGGUCGUAGUUCCCGCGACCCCGUGCUUGCAAGUACUGGCUGCCUCCUACUAUAGUGUAAGCUCCAGGAAGGAUCCCGCGGGGGACCUGACAGCUCACGGUCCUGGCCGACAACCGCCCUGGGAGCGGAAUGGAUGGAGCCCGCAGUCGUCCCGGCGCACUGGGCAAGCUCUGCUCCCACUGUGGCAGGCCAGAUCUCCAUUAGCAACCAGAGCAGCUCUCACCAACGCCUCACUGUCAUUCUGAUGCAUGUAUAAGUUAAACAUUGGAGAAACUGGUGCCUUAGGAGAAAGGCUAGAAUGUAAAGACAAGUCCAUUAGGAUCCCGCCUGAGCUUUUUCAACCCCUAGAGUUUA